AGAGUUUGAUCCUGGCUCAGGAUGAACGCUAGCGGGAGGCCUAACACAUGCAAGUCGAGGGGCAGCAUUUCUAGCUUGCUAGAAGAUGGCGACCGGCGCACGGGUGAGUAACGCGUAUGCAACCUACCUUAUACUGGGGGAUAGCCCAGAGAAAUCUGGAUUAAUACCGCAUAACAAUGUUUUAUCGCAUGGUAAGAUAUUUAAAACUCCGGUGGUAUAAGAUGGGCAUGCGUAGCAUUAGUUAGUUGGUGAGGUAACGGCUCACCAAGACAAUGAUGCUUAGGGGGUCUGAGAGGAUAGUCCCCCACACUGGUACUGAGACACGGACCAGACUCCUACGGGAGGCAGCAGUGAGGAAUAUUGGUCAAUGGACGCAAGUCUGAACCAGCCAUGUCGCGUGCAGGAUGACGGCCCUAUGGGUUGUAAACUGCUUUUUUACAGGAAUAAUUGCAGGUACGUGUACCUGCUUGAAUGUACUGUAUGAAUAAGAUCGCUAACU
This 499-nucleotide ribosomal RNA is filed under the name uncultured bacterium. RNAcentral's name for it is "bacterial SSU rRNA". It matches the Rfam family "Bacterial small subunit ribosomal RNA", at positions 8 to 502 of the family's 1533-position model. The record is from RNAcentral.